This 254-nucleotide ribosomal RNA is filed under the name uncultured bacterium. Its description in RNAcentral is "partial 16S ribosomal RNA". It matches the Rfam family "Bacterial small subunit ribosomal RNA", at positions 524 to 776 of the family's 1533-position model. The record is from RNAcentral.
UACGUAGGGUGCAAGCGUUGUCCGGAAUUAUUGGGCGUAAAGAGCUCGUAGGCGGUCUGUCGCGUCGGCUGUGAAAACCCGGAGCUCAACUCCGGGCCUGCAGUCGAUACGGGCAGACUGGAGUUCGGCAGGGGAGACUGGAAUUCCUGGUGUAGCGGUGAAAUGCGCAGAUAUCAGGAGGAACACCGGUGGCGAAGGCGGGUCUCUGGGCAGUAACUGACGCUGAGGAACGAAAAGCGUGGGUAGCGAACAGG